UGAACAUCUUGGCCAUGUUCUGUUAUAAUCUCCACCCAGCACAGCCAGAAGAGGACUGGCCACCCCUCAUAGCCUGCUUCCUCUCUAGGUUUCUUCCUAGGUUUUGGCAUUUCUAGGGAGUUUUUCCUAGCCACCGUGCUUCUACACCUGCAUUACUUUGGGGAGAGUCAAAAAUGGCAGCGAGUAGGGAAGAUGAAACAGAGGACGAGUUGGUGAAGGAACAGCUGUGAUGGAAUGCGAACAAUAUGGGUGUCAGUUCGGAAGGUAUGAAGCUGGAGGAUGAGGGCCAAGAACCGGAAUGGUCAGUAGUGGAAAGACACAGGAAGAGAAGAGAGAUCAUGAUACAGAAAGCAGUGGAGUGUCUAGUAAAGAAAGCACGAGGGCCAAGGUAGGACGCAGGAGUAGUGAUGUGUUGGAGUGGAAAGUAAUGAUAGUGUUUGAUGAGACCACAGGGCCUCACUUACUGUGAAUCCUAUCAGACUAACUAAUGUCGUAGAUAAAGAGGAAGGUGAAGUGGAAUUAGCUCGGUUCGUUGGAAAUGAUAUAUUGUUAAUAUUUUGUGGUAGCCAGGCUCAGCAAGAGAAGAUUCUGCAAAUGGAAAAGCUUAAUGGGAAGAAGAUUGGUUCAUAUGCUGGGUAGAGGAGUCAUCACAUUAACAGUCAUAUCUCUGGUUAUUAUGCUGGGUAGAGGAGAGAGUCAUCACAUUAGCAGUCAUGUCUCUGGUUAUUAUGCUGGGUAGAGGAGAGAGAUACAUAACAUUAACAGUCAUGUCUCUGGUUAUUAUGCUGGCUAGAGGAGUCAUCACAUUAACAGUCAUGUCUCUGGUUAUUAUGCUGGGUAGAGGAGAGAGUCAUCACAUUAACAGUCAUGUCUCUGGUUAUUAUGCUGGGUAGAGGAGAGAGUCAUCACAUUAACAGUCAUGUCUCUGGUUAUUAUGCUGGGUAGAGGAGUCAUCACAUUAACAGUCAUGUCUCUGGUUAUUAUGCUGGGUAGAGGAGAGAGUCAUCACAUUAACAGUCAUGUCUCUGGUUAUUAUGCUGGGUAGAGGAGUCAUCACAUUAACAGUCAUGUCUCUGGUUAUUAUGCUGGGUAGAGGAGUCAUCACAUUAACAGGCAUGUCUCUGGUUAUUAUGCUGGGUAGAGAGAUCAUCACAUUAACAGUCAUGUCUCUGGUUAUUAUGCUGGGUAGAGGAGUCAUCACAUUAACAGUCAUGUCUCUGGUUAUUAUGCUGGCUAGAGGAGUCAUCACAUUAACAGUCAUGUCUCUGGUUAUUAUGCUGGGUAGAGGAGUCAUCACAUUAACAGUCAUGUCUCUGGUUAUUAUGCUGGGUAGUGCCGCUGGAAGCCUAUCAGUGCCGCUGGAAGCCUAUCAGUGCCGCUGGAAGCC
This 1387-nucleotide long non-coding RNA is filed under the name Salmo salar (Atlantic salmon). Its description in RNAcentral is "lncRNA (ENSSSAG00000109355.1)". Lineage: Eukaryota; Metazoa; Chordata; Actinopteri; Salmoniformes; Salmonidae. The record is from RNAcentral.